CCCCCCUAUACAUGCAGUCGAGCGAACAGAGAAGGAGCUUGCUCCUUUGACGUUAGCGGCGGACGGGUGAGUAACACGUGGGCAACCUACCUUAUAGUUUGGGAUAACUCCGGGAAACCGGGGCUAAUACCGAAUAAUCUGUUUCACCUCAUGGUGAAAUAUUGAAAGACGGUUUCGGCUGUCGCUAUAGGAUGGGCCCGCGGCGCAUUAGCUAGUUGGUGAGGUAACGGCUCACCAAGGCGACGAUGCGUAGCCGACCUGAGAGGGUGAUCGGCCACACUGGGACUGAGACACGGCCCAGACUCCUACGGGAGGCAGCAGUAGGGAAUCUUCCACAAUGGGCGAAAGCCUGAUGGAGCAACGCCGCGUGAGUGAAGAAGGAUUUCGGUUCGUAAAACUCUGUUGUAAGGGAAGAACAAGUACAGUAGUAACUGGCUGUACCUUGACGGUACCUUAUUAGAAAGCCACGGCUAACUACGUGCCAGCAGCCGCGGUAAUACGUAGGUGGCAAGCGUUGUCCGGAAUUAUUGGGCGUAAAGCGCGCGCAGGUGGUUUCUUAAGUCUGAUGUGAAAGCCCACGGCUCAACCGUGGAGGGUCAUUGGAAACUGGGAGACUUGAGUGCAGAAGAGGAUAGUGGAAUUCCAAGUGUAGCGGUGAAAUGCGUAGAGAUUUGGAGGAACACCAGUGGCGAAGGCGACUAUCUGGUCUGUAACUGACACUGAGGCGCGAAAGCGUGGGGAGCAAACAGGAUUAGAUACCCUGGUAGUCCACGCCGUAAACGAUGAGUGCUAAGUGUUAGGGGGUUUCCGCCCCUUAGUGCUGCAGCUAACGCAUUAAGCACUCCGCCUGGGGAGUACGGUCGCAAGACUGAAACUCAAAGGAAUUGACGGGGGCCCGCACAAGCGGUGGAGCAGGUGGUUUAAUUCGAAGCAACGCGAAGAACCUUACCAGGUCUUGACAUCCCGUUGACCACUGUAGAGAUAUGGUUUCCCCUUCGGGGGCAACGGUUACAGGUGGUGCAUGGUUGUCGUCAGCUCGUGCCGGAGAAGUUGGGUUAAGUCCGGAACGAGGGCAACCCUUGAACUAAUUGCCACCAUUAAGUGGGCCCUCCAAGGGGACUGCCGGUGAAAAACGGAAAAAAGGGGGGGUAAACUCAAAAAAAAAGGCCCUUAAAACGGGGGCAACAAGGGUUAAAAUGGAAAAAAAGAAGGUUGCCACUCCCGGAGGAGAGUUAUCCCAAAAAAUUUUUCUUUUUGGGGUUGGGUGGGGAACUCCCCCAAAAAACCGGAUCUAUGUUUA
RNAcentral lists this ribosomal RNA (1300 nucleotides) under Lysinibacillus sp. RNAcentral's name for it is "partial 16S ribosomal RNA". It matches the Rfam family "Bacterial small subunit ribosomal RNA", at positions 44 to 1340 of the family's 1533-position model. Lineage: Bacteria; Bacillati; Bacillota; Bacilli; Caryophanales; Bacillaceae. The record is from RNAcentral.